UACGAAGGGGGCUAGCGUUGCUCGGAAUCACUGGGCGUAAAGGGCGCGUAGGCGGCCUGCUAAGUCGAACGUGAAAUCCCCGGGCUCAACCCGGGAACUGCGUCCGAUACUGGCAGGCUUGAAUCCGGGAGAGGGAUGCGGAAUUCCAGGUGUAGCGGUGAAAUGCGUAGAUAUCUGGAGGAACACCGGUGGCGAAGGCGGCAUCCUGGACCGGCAUUGACGCUGAGGCGCGAAAGCGUGGGGAGCGAUCCGG
RNAcentral lists this ribosomal RNA (253 nucleotides) under uncultured bacterium. RNAcentral's name for it is "partial 16S ribosomal RNA". It matches the Rfam family "Bacterial small subunit ribosomal RNA", at positions 524 to 776 of the family's 1533-position model. The record is from RNAcentral.